RNAcentral lists this long non-coding RNA (450 nucleotides) under Prunus persica (peach). RNAcentral's name for it is "long non-coding RNA (PPER_LNC007728)". The record is from RNAcentral. Lineage: Eukaryota; Viridiplantae; Streptophyta; Magnoliopsida; Rosales; Rosaceae.
AAGUAUUAUCGCCUUUGUGUCAAAAAAAUAGGUAUAUCAGGAUAUGCACAUGGCACAUGCACAUGCUGUAGUGGCUGCUACUUUUGUCUUUUAUAAAUCUCAUAUAAUUCUUAUUUUCUUCCAAUAUUCUAUAAACCUAGAUCAUUGAUAGGCUUCGAAUAAGCUCUAUUAAACCUUAAUUAAGUUAGCCAACGGGGUUUAGCUGAGUGAAAAAUAGCUUUGACUUACAGAUCAGAGGUCCCAGGUUCGAAUUCCCAUGACAUCAUAGUUGUGUGUGUGUGAGAGAAAUCCUCAUUCCCUGUAGUUUAGAUUAUCGCUUGUACUAUAUAUAUAUAAAAAAAAAAAAAUUCAACUUGACCAUAUGAAGUCGGAGAAUCUUAGGCACAGCUCCGCAAAUGUAUAUAAGGUCCAUUGCCAAGCUAAGUACACUUACUUGACCCAUCAAGGCUU